This 253-nucleotide ribosomal RNA is filed under the name uncultured bacterium. Its description in RNAcentral is "partial 16S ribosomal RNA". It matches the Rfam family "Bacterial small subunit ribosomal RNA", at positions 524 to 776 of the family's 1533-position model. The record is from RNAcentral.
UACAGAGGUCCCGAGCGUUGUUCGGAUUCACUGGGCGUAAAGGGUGCGUAGGCGGUCGGGUAAGUCUGAUGUGAAAUCUCACAGCUUAACUGUGAAACUGCAUUGGAUACUAUUCGGCUUGAGAGUUGGAGGGGGGACUGGAAUUCUUGGUGUAGCAGUGAAAUGCGUAGAUAUCAAGAGGAACACCAGUGGCGAAGGCGAGUCCCUGGACAACUUCUGACGCUGAGGCACGAAAGCGUGGGUAGCAAACAGG